UAACGGACAACCGUCUAUAU
RNAcentral lists this microRNA (20 nucleotides) under Drosophila pseudoobscura pseudoobscura. RNAcentral's name for it is "mir-2537-RA". The record is from RNAcentral. Lineage: Eukaryota; Metazoa; Arthropoda; Insecta; Diptera; Drosophilidae.